This 426-nucleotide ribosomal RNA is filed under the name uncultured bacterium. RNAcentral describes it as "bacterial SSU rRNA". It matches the Rfam family "Bacterial small subunit ribosomal RNA", at positions 355 to 773 of the family's 1533-position model. The record is from RNAcentral.
UGGGGAAUAUUGGACAAUGGGGGCAACCCUGAUCCAGCCAUGCCGCGUGUGUGAAGAAGGCCUUCGGGUUGUAAAGCACUUCAAGCUGGGAGGAAGGUUUCUUGGCUAAUAUCCAAGAGAAUUGACGUUACCAGCAGAAUAAGCACCGGCUAACUCCGUGCCAGCAGCCGCGGUAAUACGGCGGGUGCAAGCGUUAAUCGGAAUUACUGGGCGUAAAGCGCGCGUAGGCGGCUUGAUAAGUCGGAUGUGAAAUCCCUGGGCUCAACCUGGGAACUGCAUUCGAUACUGUCUGGCUAGAGUGUGGGAGAGGGUGGUGGAAUUCCCGGUGUAGCGGUGAAAUGCGUAGAUAUCGGGAGGAACAUCAGUGGCGAAGGCGACCGCCUGGCCCAACACUGACGCUGAGGUGCGAAAGCGUGGGUAGCAAAC